UCCCACAUCGGCAACUAUGAUACCUCCAUCACUGGUGCUGCCCUAGAACACAACGACAGUUUCAGGCAGUCGGCGACGGCAGCAGAAGCGGGUUGUUCUGGCUAGAUAGAUCGCUGGCGUCAUCGGCGACGUUCCCAUGCUUACCGUCAGCUGCUAUUACGCCUAUAACCCGAUCAGCCAUUUCGAGCAUUGUUACAUGAUACACAAAUGAAAAAAUUUAGUAGCAACGAUUCUAGGAUAUUUUUACAUAUGCAUGAUUAUCUUACGUUUUGCAUGAUAAUGAGAAAAGAGAAAAGUAUAAUCGAAUGCAUACCUUGUUCUUUUUUGCCAUUGUUAGUUGGGUUAACACUGAAAAUUUAUAGUACUUUUUUUCUCAUUUAAGAAAAAAAAAUAGAAAAGAACAUGAAGUUUAUGAGGAUUGCUUUGCGGAUUUACCUCUUUCACAAUAUCUAAGUAAUAGUAAACACAAUGGAAUUACCAGUACGCCAUUUUUGGUGUCGAAGUUAUUCUUGGCUCCAUCCUAAAUUGCUCUGUAAGACGUAGACAAUAGAACCUAGCGACAGCGGUGCAAAUGAAACUGCCCGCAUUUAUUCCAACAACAUAAUAUCAUUAUAUGUAUAAUCUUUUCACAGAAUGAAUACAUCAUGACUAUAGUCAGAAAUUACUCGAAUAGGGAUCUGUGCUCUUAUAAUUAAUAGUUCAAUAAAAAAGCCAUCCAUCCUUUAAAUUUACACAUGUUUUAUCAUCGAUCAAAGGAACGAAAUUCGAGGUACUAUGACACUAAAUGCCGAUGACUUGAAUAAAUGGACUUAAAAAUACGUUAAGAUACUACAUAUAGCAUAGAUAUUUGUAUAAUGUAAUAGUCGUUCAACUUUUGAGAUGGUCAACCAACAACAAGAUAGAUCUAGCGUUCUGAUUUGCGGCGAAAUUGAACAUCUGUUUCCUGAUGAUAUUUUUACGCUAAAAGGCCGUGUUAACCGUGUUGCUGCGUGCUGCAAAUAAAGUGAUGCUCUGAUUGAUUUAUUGUAUAAUUGUCUUAAUAAGUGCGCUAAGCUGACCUACAAGAUAAAUUUAUCAAAUCAUUAAUUUUUGCAUGAAAUAUAGCAAUGCUUUUUAUAUAAACAUUUCUUGGCCACAGCUCGCUUUACUUGAAUUCACUUGACAAUAGUACUCUCAUGCAUCAAGUGAAUUGCAGAAGAAUGGUUCAUUCAACUACUAAAAAAAGAAAACGAAACAUGGUGAACUAAAAACUAACAAAGAUUGUACAAAGAACGUGCUUGGUAUCCUUCUGUCAUAAACAACUUCGCGCAAACUUCAUACAUCGAAACUGAACCGUGCUAAUCUUUGGGAACGAACGGUUAAUCGCCUAUGUACUGCAUACUAUUUUCUGAGACAGUGGGCAUUUUGGUGUUUAUUAGAUGACCUUUUGAGGUACAUUGACGUGGGCCUUAAUGAAACCUCAACUCUGCUAUAAAUUGAUACUAUUAUUAUUGAUAUUAGCAAACUAACAUCUAAAAUGCCUUUCCUCUAUACAAUUAUAUAAUUUAUUAAGAAACAUACAUUUACCAUAAUUAUCACGCUGGUGUGCUCUCCUUUUGAGGCCCUCCUUGGUUUUGGAUGCUCUUAAUAAAUACAAUCCAGUUCACUUAAACCCCACUCAUUAUUAUUACAUGAUCACAAUUCUUCUUCUUCAAGUUCUUUUUUAUCCUUGCCUUUUUCUUCUUUUGUUUGCUUUUUAGCCCUGACCGGAUGCGUCUAAAGGGGAAUGUUUCUACAUAACCAACAGAUACAAUUCGAACGAGCAUUAUAUAAUGUUUAGAACGACUUCCAUACCAUCUUAAAUUUAUACUUCCUUUACCCGGGCAUGGUAAACCUUUUUGUUACCCUUCCCACUUACAUCUCAGCCACUACCUAAUUACCAUCACUCUUUCGCUAUAUUUAUCUAUAUUAUAUAUAUUUUCACUAAUGAUAUUCUAAAAGUACAGUAGAAGCACAGACUCUGGUAUCGGGUAAUGUUGUGUAAUGAGUGGGUAGCUAUUUAUAAUAGAUCGUCACGUAAAUCUUUCUCAUUUUCCCUUUACAGUUUUCCAUUAAGUCUAAAUAAUUCGUUAUAGUUUUAAUAGCAGUAAAAGUAAUAAUUAGCCAUCGUCGUUUUCUUUUAUACAUAUACCACUCGUCUGAUUCGCUUCUUGUUCUUACGCGAUACAAUAAAACGCUCAUUUACGCUUUCUCCAGUUUUUUCCUGUUUUUCCUCAAAUUUUUAAAAAGUCACAUGUCCUCCUAGGGAGGAGACAAAACAAGAAAUUGUUGAGCACAGCCGUACUGAGGUUUUUUCCUUUACUUCGCUUACGAUCGGUGCAUGCAUGAGUUAUUUUUAUCAACUAUCGUUGAGCUACGUAAGUUGUUGUUG
Long non-coding RNA from Varroa destructor (honeybee mite), 2410 nucleotides. Lineage: Eukaryota; Metazoa; Arthropoda; Arachnida; Mesostigmata; Varroidae. The record is from RefSeq and is a predicted model, not a curated record.